AGCGAACGUUUGCGGCGGGCCUAACACAUGCAAGUCGAACGCACUAGCAAUAGUGAGUGGCGCACGGGUGCGUAACACGUGGGUAAUCAACCCUUUAGCUUGGGAUAACGACUUGAAAGGGUCGCUAAUACCGGAUACGGCGAGAGAGGCUUCGGCAUUUCUCGAGAAAGCCUCGCAAGGGGCACUGAAGGACGAGCCUGCGGCCCAUCAGCUAGUUGGUGAGGUAAGAGCUCACCAAGGCGAAGACGGGUAGCUGGUCUGAGAGGAUGAUCAGCCACACUGGAACUGAGACACGGUCCAGACUCCUACGGGAGGCAGCAGUGGGGAAUAUUGCGCAAUGGGCGAAAGCCUGACGCAGCCACGCCGCGUGAGCGAUGAAGGCCUUCGGGUCGUAAAGCUCUGUGGGGAGAGACGAAGAAAGACCGGUGAAGAGCGGCCGUGACGGUAGUCUCCUUA
This 456-nucleotide ribosomal RNA is filed under the name uncultured bacterium. RNAcentral describes it as "bacterial SSU rRNA". It matches the Rfam family "Bacterial small subunit ribosomal RNA", at positions 29 to 485 of the family's 1533-position model. The record is from RNAcentral.